RNAcentral lists this ribosomal RNA (205 nucleotides) under uncultured bacterium. RNAcentral describes it as "partial 16S ribosomal RNA". It matches the Rfam family "Bacterial small subunit ribosomal RNA", at positions 568 to 773 of the family's 1533-position model. The record is from RNAcentral.
CACGUAGGCGGGUCUUUAAGUCAGGGGUGAAAUCCUGGAGCUCAACUCCAGAACUGCCUUUGAUACUGAGGAUCUCGAGUUCGGGAGAGGUGAGUGGAACUGCGAGUGUAGAGGUGAAAUUCGUAGAUAUUCGCAAGAACACCAGUGGCGAAGGCGGCUCACUGGCCCGAUACUGACGCUGAGGUGCGAAAGCGUGGGAGCAACA